GUGCGACAGUUGAAUUCAAUAUAAGCCAACCUUACAGCUGAGGUGAUGCCAGGAAUGCUAUAUUAGUGCUAGACGUUGAUGUAAGUUGGUAUAAAAACAUGCCCCGUCAACAUUUCAACUGCUUAUAAUAUUCUAUAUAUCGGAUCCUUAAUUCAUGUCUUAUUUGUUUGUUUCUUAUGCAAUGCAGGUGUUUCUUCAAAUAUGUUAUAAAAUAUUAAAAUGUGAAAAGUCCCGCCGCGACGCGUGGGGUAUCAUCUAGUAUGAAAGGAAUGAUUACAACCGCCUCUUGAUCUCAAUCAAUUUCAUAGAUGUGUUAUGUGUUUUAAUUAUUACUAGGCAGCAUUACAAGAUAAAUAUGUUUGACAUCUUUGUCUAUGCGCAGUACGGACAGCUGGGAAGGGAGCUAUACUCAAUGUGCAAACAAAAGCUGUCAAUAUAAAUGAUUUUAAUUUUUUUUUUGUUGGCAGAGGCGAUUCCAACGGCUCGCUUCUGUAAUGUCGUUUAUGGGAUUUUUACAUAUGUAUAUUUAGCCUCAACCGCUAUAUGGGCGAUAUAUAUA
This 559-nucleotide long non-coding RNA is filed under the name Brachypodium distachyon (stiff brome). Its description in RNAcentral is "long non-coding RNA (BDIS_LNC003563)". The record is from RNAcentral. Lineage: Eukaryota; Viridiplantae; Streptophyta; Magnoliopsida; Poales; Poaceae.